RNAcentral lists this microRNA (22 nucleotides) under Bos taurus (domestic cattle). Its description in RNAcentral is "bta-miR-2461-3p". The record is from miRBase by way of RNAcentral. Lineage: Eukaryota; Metazoa; Chordata; Mammalia; Artiodactyla; Bovidae.
UCAGACUGAGAGCAGUGUGCCU